RNAcentral lists this ribosomal RNA (179 nucleotides) under Staphylococcus aureus. RNAcentral's name for it is "partial 16S ribosomal RNA". It matches the Rfam family "Bacterial small subunit ribosomal RNA", at positions 1 to 174 of the family's 1533-position model. Lineage: Bacteria; Bacillati; Bacillota; Bacilli; Caryophanales; Staphylococcaceae. The record is from RNAcentral.
UUUAUGGAGAGUUUGAUCCUGGCUCAGGAUGAACGCUGGCGGCGUGCCUAAUACAUGCAAGUCGAGCGAAUGGACGAGAAGCUUGCUUCUCUGAUGUUAGCGGCGGACGGGUGAGUAACACGUGGAUAACCUACCUAUAAGACUGGGAUAACUUCGGGAAACCGGAGCUAAUACCGGAU